This 30-nucleotide non-coding RNA is filed under the name Rattus norvegicus (Norway rat). Lineage: Eukaryota; Metazoa; Chordata; Mammalia; Rodentia; Muridae. The record is from RNAcentral.
UGUUGUUUUUUAAACUGCUUUUGGAGACUC